GCGGAUAUAGCUCAGUUGGUUAGAGUAUCGGUUUGUGGAUCCGAGGGUCGUGGGUUCAAAUCCCACUAUUCGCC
RNAcentral lists this transfer RNA (74 nucleotides) under Flammeovirgaceae bacterium. Its description in RNAcentral is "tRNA-His". It matches the Rfam family "tRNA". Rfam says of the family: Transfer RNA (tRNA) molecules are approximately 80 nucleotides in length. Their secondary structure includes four short double-helical elements and three loops (D, anti-codon, and T loops). Further hydrogen bonds mediate the characteristic L-shaped molecular structure. tRNAs have two regions of fundamental functional importance: the anti-codon, which is responsible for specific mRNA codon recognition, and the 3' end, to which the tRNAs corresponding amino acid is attached (by aminoacyl-tRNA synthetases). tRNAs cope with the degeneracy of the genetic code in two manners: having more than one tRNA (with a specific anti-codon) for a particular amino acid; and 'wobble' base-pairing, i.e. permitting non-standard base-pairing at the 3rd anti-codon position. The record is from RNAcentral. Lineage: Bacteria; Pseudomonadati; Bacteroidota; Cytophagia; Cytophagales; Flammeovirgaceae.